This 253-nucleotide ribosomal RNA is filed under the name uncultured bacterium. RNAcentral describes it as "partial 16S ribosomal RNA". It matches the Rfam family "Bacterial small subunit ribosomal RNA", at positions 524 to 776 of the family's 1533-position model. The record is from RNAcentral.
UACGGAGGGUGCGAGCGUUGUCCGGAAUCACUGGGCGUAAAGGGCGCGUAGGCGGCGCGGAUAGUCGGCGGUGAAAGCCCGGAGCUCAACUCCGGGUCGGCCGUCGAUACUUCCGGGCUUGAGCACCGUAGAGGCAGAUGGAAUUCCGGGUGUAGCGGUGGAAUGCGUAGAGAUCCGGAAGAACACCGGUGGCGAAGGCGGUCUGCUGGGCAGUUGCUGACGCUGAUGCGCGACAGCGUGGGGAGCAAACAGG